GCUGUUUAUGUUAUCGUUCACUCUUGGUUUCAUUUUGCAUGUGGUGAAUAAAGGGUACCGAGUCUUGGAAGCUUCUCAGAAGUGUUUGCAUGCUUUCUUUCCUCCUCGGCUCUUGCUUUGUCUAUCAAAGCCUUCAUGUUGUUGUUAUAGCUUCUCAAGAACAAGAUACAACACAACCAAUGGAGCUGGAAGAGUCAUUCCUGAUACUCUUUUCAGCAUUUUCUUCAAGGUUUGCUAAAAAACGUUACAAGCCGAGUUUUCUUUAAUGCUAAUAUGGUUCAAAUCAUCUGCGGGAGAUAAACCAUGCUGGUGCUGGCUGAUUAUGGGCUGAACUCGUUAGCGACAGAGGGCUUGAAGCUGGUGGGCAGAACACACCGUCUAAUAUAUGACCUUUGUUGGUGAUCAGUCAUCGGUAGUUUUAGCUACGGACCGUUCAUUAUGCUUUGAAGACAUUGGAGCAGCCCCAAUUUGGGUGUUCAACAACGGGAUUAGUCAUAAGAUGAAGUUGAAACCGCCAGUAUUCAUGCCCUUUGUUCAAGGGUGUUUGUGUGUUUCUGUCUGAAAGAAAGUGUUUUCCUUUUGUCACAGAUAUACACUUCUGCUAGCAGUUUGUUUUCCAUGUAUCAUCAAUUCGAUGGCACUUCAAAGGGUCCAAGGGUGUGGUUGUUAUAGAUUAUAUGAGGCUUUUUAGCGUUAUCUUUGCUCACUCGUGUAACUUUUUUUUGCGGGAUUUUGUCAGUGAGUAUGCUGUGACUGGAAAAGAUGCUGUUGGGUUCCUCUUAGAUGGAGGUAACCCAUUGGGUUUGGUUUUGACAACCAAACUUGGUGUUGGGCAAUGGUAUUAGCACAUGAGGUUAGUAUUGGGCCUUGGGAGUUAAUGACCCAUAAUGUAAGUCUCCUAACCUAAUUUGGAGAGUGGUUGCAGACACAACACGAGCAGACAAGAUCAGACUCACAAUAAUAGAGUUUAGAGAGAGACAAAAGAGAGAAAGAAGAGAGAAGGAGGAGAAAACUUGUCAGGCUAUUUCAAGACUGGUUUUGGAGGUUCAAACGGAACUUGAUCAGGCUGAUAUUUUA
This is a long non-coding RNA of Brassica oleracea var. oleracea, 1077 nucleotides long. RefSeq lists it as uncharacterized. The record is from RefSeq and is a predicted model, not a curated record. NCBI's taxonomy places the organism in Eukaryota, Viridiplantae, Streptophyta, Magnoliopsida, Brassicales, Brassicaceae. The transcript has 3 exons.